RNAcentral lists this unclassified non-coding RNA (401 nucleotides) under Hevea brasiliensis (rubber tree). The record is from RNAcentral. Lineage: Eukaryota; Viridiplantae; Streptophyta; Magnoliopsida; Malpighiales; Euphorbiaceae.
GAUCAUGGCAGGUUCGAACCGUUCGGCAUCUCUAAAGGACACUCAACGUGCAAUUCCUGUUGGGACCUUAGCUGCAACUUUGACUACCACCAGUUUAUAUCUGGUUUCUGUGCUACUAUUCGGAGCUGUUGCAACUAGAGAUAAGCUUUUGACUGAUAGGUUAUUAUCUGCUACAGUUGCCUGGCCAUUUCCGGCUAUUGUUUAUGUUGGUAUAAUCCUCUCAACCUUGGGGGCAGCCCUUCAAAGCCUUACUGGUGCUCCACGUCUCCUUGCAGCGAUUGCAAAUGAUGAAAUUCUACCUGUUCUUAACUAUUUUAAAGUGGCAGAUGGACAUGAGCCUCAUGUGGCUACUCUCUUCACUGCCAUCAUCUGCAUUGGUUGUGUUGUAAUCGGGAAUCUAG